This 492-nucleotide ribosomal RNA is filed under the name uncultured bacterium. RNAcentral describes it as "partial 16S ribosomal RNA". It matches the Rfam family "Bacterial small subunit ribosomal RNA", at positions 29 to 507 of the family's 1533-position model. The record is from RNAcentral.
AGUGAACGCUGGCGGUAGGCCUAACACAUGCAAGUCGAACGGCAGCACAGUAAGAGCUUGCUCUUACGGGUGGCGAGUGGCGGACGGGUGAGGAAUACAUCGGAAUCUACUUUUUCGUGGGGGAUAACGUAGGGAAACUUACGCUAAUACCGCAUACGAUCUACGGGUGAAAGCAGGGGAUCUUCGGACCUUGCGCGAUUGAAUGAGCCGAUGUCGGAUUAGCUAGUUGGCGGGGUAAAGGCCCACCAAGGCGACGAUCCGUAGCUGGUCUGAGAGGAUGAUCGGCCACACUGGAACUGAGACACGGUCCAGACUCCUACGGGAGGCAGCAGUGGGGAAUAUUGGACAAUGGGCGCAAGCCUGAUCCAGCCAUGCCGCGUGGGUGAAGAAGGCCUUCGGGUUGUAAAGCCCUUUUGUUGGGAAAGAAAAGCAGCAGGUUAAUACCCCGCUGUUCUGACGGUACCCAAAGAAUAAGCACCGGCUAACUUCGUG